ACCUACGAAGCCACCAAAACGAGCAGCUCAUAAAAAAACCAGAAAGGGCCUGGUAAACCAAAAAAUGUUUUCUUUAUUUCCACCUCUGAUUCCAAACCCCUUUCAGCCACCACCAGCAAUACUUCCUCCCAUCAUCCCUUCGCCACCGCCUUCAAUAUUUCCUCCUUUCUUCCCAUCACCUCCGCCUUCAAUAUUUCCUCCUGUUUUUCCGACCCCUCCACAGCCACCACCUUCAAUAUUUCCUCCAUUUUUCCCUGCACCACCAGUAGCACCUCCUCCAUCAAUAUUUCCUCCACUCUUCCCUCCAAUACCGGGAUUUAGUCCUCCGGUGGUGAUGCCACCACCGCCACCGCCACCAGUCUUCCCAUUUCUUCCACCAGGAUUCCCCGGAGUGCCGCCAGUGGCAAGGUCAAGUCAUUCAGAAGAGACAAAACAUCCUUAAUUAAAUGAAAGUCACAUGCAUCUUACUUGUACAUUAUAGUAAUAAGUAUCGGCUUGUCUGUUUAAAAGUUUGUGGUCAUUUGAAUUUUGAACAAUGUCAUUGUUGCAUUUCGCAGCAUUAUAUGUUGGUUAUGUUGGAAAAAUAUGAAGUUCCUGGCUUUAAGCAAACAUAUCAAUACUAUAUGACCUUGUUAGUUCACAAAUUUUGUAAUGGAAAAUGUUUGAUGCAUAAAAUUGGGUACUGAAUUUUUCAUAAGAUGACAUGUGCCAAGUUUUGAUUGAAACGAGUUCUUGUAUAUGCAUUAAUAAUGCCAAUGAUAAUACCACCUCACUUCUCAGGUUAUUUUAUGUAAAAUUUUGUAUUCAAUUUUGUGCAUGUAAAACUGCUCAUUUGUAAUAUCAAAUGUUUUGUCAGUGUGUACGAUGCACUUGACCAGUUGACAGUGCUGCACACAAGGUUGGCUUAGACUCCAUGACAAAACAUAAGCUGUCAGUGAGAUUGAUUUUGGGUCUUAAUUUCCAUAGACUUGAUGGCCAAAUCCCAGUUCAUGCAUACUGACGCCCAUAGUGAUAAUUUGUCAUCUCCGAGUCUGAGCUCUGAAUCUAGUAUUUCAAGGUAUUAGUAAGAAGAGGAUUUAAUCGAAACAUAUAUUAUCUCAACACUUUCACUCACGAUGACAUGCAAAAUCACAUUUGUGUGUACCAAAAAGUAAAUGUAUCAUGUAAUGAGCUACAUAUCCACAAAAUAGUAAAAAUCUGGUAUUCACAUAGUUUAACUACCAUUCUCUGGUAUUUAUUUGGAAUUUCUAUGAAUCUUGUGGGCAGUACAACUCUAUAAGCUUCUCGUGAACCAAACGGGUCCAGUUUGUGUUUCUCUGGACAAAUCCAAUCGCUUUCCUCUUUGGUUUUUAUGGAACUGACAAGCUUUACAUUCACAUUAUGUAGCAACUUUGCCGUUGGACUAGUAGUGCCUUUGCAUGAUUUACAUUAUUGAUCACCCAACUUCCCUAUCUCUGUGUGCUACCCUUCUCUGCAGAUUUUAUAUAUACUUCACAUUUGGUAUGCAUCAAACCACAUAGUCAUCAGAGUUUUUACAAUGUCUUGGCUUUUGGCUCUGGUACUUUUUUGUUUAGCUCUUCAUUCGAAUGCUAAAGCUAUUACGAAAACACAGCUUCGUUCUGCAACUGUUGUUGGCACCGUCUAUUGUCACACUUGCCUACAAAAUGAUUUCUCCGCGUUGAACCACUUCAUUUCAGGUUUAUAUCUCUAAUUUUUAAUAUCAAUUUCUUUAACAUCUGAAUAUCCGAUAUGCAUCUAAUUGCAUUUGUGUUUUAGGGGCAUUGGUGGCGGUAGAAUGUGAUGGUACCAAACCAAGCUCAAGAUUCCGGAAAGAAGUGAAAACCAACAAGCAUGGACAAUUCAAAGUAAAUUUACCAUUCCCAGUUACCAAACAUGUCAAGAACAUCAAGAAAUGCUCUGUGAACUUGGUCAGGAGCAAUAAUGCCAACUGUGCAGUGGCAUCGACAGCAACAACAUCUUCAUUUCAUCUCAAAUCAAUAAAAGCAAGAACCCACAUUUUCUCAGCUGGUUUUCUCACAUUCAAACCCCUGACACAACCAAACAUCUGUAACCAAAAACCAAAAAUUAACAGAAACUCGAAGGAUUCUGUUGAUAAUGAUCCUUCAACAUUUCCUCCUCCACUUCGCGAUCCCCCUGAUUCGUCAAUUAUACCUCCCAUAGACAAUCCAGGCCAAUUUACGCCGCUUCCAAUACUCCCAAGGCUCCCUCCUCUACCAGAAUUGCCAAACCUUCCACCUAUACUCCCACCAAAACAAGCAACUCUUAGUAAAACCAGCAGUGACUUGAUAAACGAAAAACCAUUUUUUCUUUUUCCACCUAUAUUUCCAAACCCCUUUGCGCCACCUUUAGUUCCAAACCCUUUGCAGCCACCACCAGCAAUAGUUCCUCCAGUGAUCCCUUCACCACCGCCUUCAGUGCUUCCUCCUGUUCUUCCAACGCCACCACAACCAC
This 2472-nucleotide long non-coding RNA is filed under the name Daucus carota (carrot). Its description in RNAcentral is "long non-coding RNA (DCAR_LNC005182)". The record is from RNAcentral. Lineage: Eukaryota; Viridiplantae; Streptophyta; Magnoliopsida; Apiales; Apiaceae.